Molecule: ribosomal RNA, 511 nt
Filed under: uncultured bacterium
Lineage: Bacteria
Description: partial 16S ribosomal RNA
Rfam family: Bacterial small subunit ribosomal RNA
Source: RNAcentral
GACAAACGCUGGCGGCAUGCCUAACACAUGCAAGUCGAACGGCCAGACCAGGGGAGCUUUUCGGUGUGGAACUGGAGUGUUGGUGGCGGAUGGGUGAGUAACGCGUGGACAACCUACCUUGUAAAGGGGAAUAACCUCGAGCAAUCGUAGCUCAUACCCCCUAAUACCCUUGCUUCGCGUGCAGUAAGGCGGACAGGCGGCCUUAGCGCUGUCGCUACUAGAUGGGUCCGCGUCUGAUUAGCUAGUUGGUGGGGUAAAGGCUCACCAAGGCGACGAUCAGUAGCCGGCCUGAGAGGGUGAACGGCCACAUUGGAACUGAGACACGGCCCAAACUCCUACGGGAGGCAGCAGUGGGGAAUCUUCCGCAAUGGGCGAAAGCCUGACGGAGCAAUGCCGCGUGAGUGAAGAAGGCCUUCGGGUUGUAAAACUCUGUUCUUAGCGAAGAGAGGGUGUUGGAGUAACUGACAAUACUAGGACGGUAGAUGAGGAGGAAGCCCCGGCUAACUAUGUG